Molecule: small nucleolar RNA, 141 nt
Organism: Apodemus sylvaticus (European woodmouse)
Lineage: Eukaryota; Metazoa; Chordata; Mammalia; Rodentia; Muridae
Product: small nucleolar RNA SNORA48
Exons: 1
Source: RefSeq, a predicted model, not a curated record
ACCCUCUGACAAUGGGCAAAGCGACACCUUGUUGGUGGUGUUCCUAUACCAGUCAGGGGCAGAGCAUAUGGCAGUCCAUUGUUCAUCCUAGCUUGAUACCUGGCUUGGUGGCCAAAGCUAUCUUAUGCCUAGGACUCAUAA